AUUGAACGCUGGCGGCAGGCCUAACACGUGCGAGUCGAGCGGAUGAAGGGAGCUUGCUCCUGGAUUCAGCGGCGGACGGGUGAGUAAUGCCUAGGAAUCUGCCUGGUAGUGGGGGAUAACGUCCGGAAACGGGCGCUAAUACCGCAUACGUCCUGAGGGAGAAAGUGGGGGAUCUUCGGACCUCACGCUAUCAGAUGAGCCUAGGUCGGAUUAGCUAGUUGGUGGGGUAAAGGCCUACCAAGGCGACGAUCCGUAACUGGUCUGAGAGGAUGAUCAGUCACACUGGAACUGAGACACGGUCCAGACUCCUACGGGAGGCAGCAGUGGGGAAUAUUGGACAAUGGGCGAAAGCCUGAUCCAGCCAUGCCGCGUGUGUGAAGAAGGUCUUCGGAUUGUAAAGCACUUUAAGUUGGGAGGAAGGGCAGUAAGUUAAUACCUUGCUGUUUUGACGUUACCAACAGAAUAAGCACCGGCUAACUUCGUG
RNAcentral lists this ribosomal RNA (484 nucleotides) under uncultured bacterium. Its description in RNAcentral is "partial 16S ribosomal RNA". It matches the Rfam family "Bacterial small subunit ribosomal RNA", at positions 30 to 507 of the family's 1533-position model. The record is from RNAcentral.